Molecule: unclassified non-coding RNA, 875 nt
Filed under: Hevea brasiliensis (rubber tree)
Lineage: Eukaryota; Viridiplantae; Streptophyta; Magnoliopsida; Malpighiales; Euphorbiaceae
Source: RNAcentral
GCCUGAGAAUAUACUCUUUGUUUCUGCAGACUACAUAAAAGUGCCCGACUACAAGGGUACACCAUGGUCACACAGAGACAGAUCAUUUUAUAAAAGGUUACCAAAGUCGAGUGCUAUCAAAGUAAUAGACUUCGGUAGCACUGCUUACGAACGACCAGAUCACAACUAUAUUGUGUCCACACGACAUUACCGUGCACCUGAAGUUAUUCUUGGCCUUGGAUGGAGCUACCCGUGUGAUUUAUGGAGCGUGGGCUGCAUCUUGGUAGAACUAUGCUCGGGUGAAGCUUUGUUCCAGACACACGAAAAUUUAGAGCACCUGGCCAUGAUGGAAAGAGUAUUGGGUACAUUACCAUCACAGAUGUUAAAUAAAGUGGAUCGACAUGCAGAGAAAUAUGUAAGGAGGGGUCGAUUAGACUGGCCUGAAGGCGCCACUUCCCGAGAGAGCAUAAAGUCUGUGAUAAAGUUGCCUCGUCUCCAGAAUUUAGUGAUGCAGCAUGUUGAUCAUUCAGCUGGUGAUCUUAUAGACCUUUUGCAAGGUCUCCUUAGAUUUGACCCGUCUAUCAGAAUGACGGCUCGUGAUGCCCUAAGGCAUCCCUUUUUCACUAGGGACCAAUUCCGGAGGUUAUAAGAGGAUGCAUUUUUGUUUGUCAUCGCUCCUGCAUCAGUUGUUCAUACCUGUAUUGUAAUCUCAAGGUAUCGAAUUAUUUGGCAUUUCUAUGAGAAGAGAAUAUAGUUAGUGAAGUCAUGUGCCUCGUAUGAGGGAGAACUUGUAUGUAUUAUGCUCGAGAGAAUGUCCACUUUCACCAUCUCUCAAGAAAUUCUAUUGUUGUGGCAGUCCCAAUUUUUGUUCAGAACCUUAGCCUUUUUGCAAUAAG